GCCAGAAUCCCUCGCCCACUUCUUCAUUUGCUUGGGCCAGGAUCACCCCAGAGGCAGUCCUGUGUAUGAAGGAGACCACUGUGGGUGCCACAGCUCCAAUGCUCCCUGUCCCAGGCACCCUGCCCACCCUGGGAACAGCAUCUUCCAGCCCGUGUGCACAGGGGUGGGAUGCUUGUAGAAUGUUUGUUUCAUAGGACAGGGUAUAUCUGUUUUUUAGAACUGGAUGCUUCUCAAGUGCUGUUAAGAGACUGCAACUUGUGGUGCUCGGAACCGUUGGCCGUUGUUAUGUAGGCACACAUUUCUCCUUGGUUGGUUUGACUUCCCAGCUGGGCAUUCAGGCUGGGUGUUACAUCACUUUCUUUUGCUAUGAGUCAUAGCUCUGAGAGACCAUGGCUGUGUCUACUGAAAAUGGAAGCCUGAAACGUUUGCGGAAGAAUAGAGGAAACCAAAAUAGUGCGAAAGGGCUGACGAUCACAAAUACAGACAGCAACAGCAAAAGCACCGAGGUGGAGUUUCUCAGCUGCAGAGAUAACAUAGCCCAGGGCUCCUUUGGGAUCUGUCUCUGGGAAUCAGCAUGGUUUGGGUGCAUCAUUUAGGGGGAAAAGCAGGAAGCAAGCUGAAUCAAGAGCAACAGUGUUAGAAUCCAUGAUGGGAUGUUCUAGCUGCUCUCUUUCGCUAUGGGAAAGCAAGGUUUAGAGAUGCCGACACCAGCAUACUCUUAAUUCUGAGGUAUUUUCUAUAGCUAUUUUUUGGUACCCAAAGGCGCAGUAAGGGUGCUCAGGGACAGACGUGAGCACUGAGCCAGCUCCACCACUCAGGCUGUGGCUGUUGGGCUGCAGCUGGCUGACCCAGGGGACAUGUUUUCAGUGGGCAUGUGAGCCAGCAGCUCUGCUUCUGUGAGCCUGCGUGUGAAGAGGAGUUCCUCCCUCGUGGGAAAUACUGACGAGAUGGUAAUUGUUUUGGUGGUUUUGCUGCAGAGCCUUCUGAAAACCCAGAUGCAGAGCAGUGGUGCUGGUAGCUCGGCCUACAGACUUGCCAUGUGUUUGAUGCAGCUGUGCUCAGAGAGGAAACUUCAGGAGCCAAGGAGUGUGAUUUCUCAAUAACCUGAUGGGCAGCAGUGCUGCUCUGCCAGCUGCUGACCCAGCACCAUGAGGAUACUCAGAUCCCCUGGAUAUUCUUCUUACUAGAAUAAAGCUACCUGGAACUACUGCUUGGUUCCGGAGGUAAGUGCUGCACUGCCCUUCCAUUCUACUUUUCCAUAUUUGCUACCUAUUACAGUGUUAAUCAUUGGGAUCCCUCUCUUUUCAGUUUCCUUUCCCUGAAACGCGGUGGUCAGACUUCCCAGACCGUGCAUUCUUUGUUGACCAGGAAUUUCUAAAUGCCAAAACAGAGCCAAAUGGAAAUGCUUUGCAGGGGGUUUUGUUACCGCGAGCCAUAGAAACAUUCAAUCAGGAAAAUAAGUCUCUCUUUUGAUUUCAGUCACCAUUUUGGGGCAUGCAUUUUAGGUCAGACAUUAUUUUUGACACAUACAAGACAACAAUUGGACAAACACACCAUUUUUUGGCUAGUAUUUCAUUUAAAAAAAAAAUUGAGGAAGACAGGUAUGUUUCAAUACAUGUGUAGCUCAGAUCUGUGCAAUUGAACUGCUUUUUUGCUUAGGGAAAAUAAUGUAAUUUAGUAACCUUGCUUGUUGCAUAGAGAAGAGCGGUUAUGCUUCUUCAUCAAACUGAAACAUCCCAUUACACGGAUUUCAGAUGAUUUCUCAUGCUAUUUUUUCAGGUUUCACUUUUUUUUUUUUUUUUCCUCCUUUAAAAGGAACUUGAAGCAACUCUCUGCUCAGCUCCCGCUGGUGAAAAAGCAGCCCUAUCCACUGCUCACUGUGAUGGGAAGAGAAGAAGUUGACAGCAACCUUUGGGCAUUCUGCUUCCUCCUCUUUCCCCAUCAGACCUUCCCUUUUGUAGUACAUCUGGAGGGCCACGAACAGCCUUGACAACAUCCCCAGAGGUCUCCUGCUUUCAAAAUGCCACGCGUUGAGCCUAUAUUGUAGUGAGCUGAGAUACUAACUUCAUGUGAGAUGAACUUCACGUGUGUUAACCUGAUGAGCUAGGUCUUGCCAGUGCUGUGAAUAGGUCUGGCUGUAGAAAACGCUUCUGGAGUGAGCAAAAAUUGCUCAUAUUCAGCUAAAUAUUCUGAAAACAGAAAGGCCUGCAGAGGAAGUGAACCUAGCAGCUAUCCAUAUAUUACUCAAACAUGACCACAUGCAUUCCGCUCUGUUUCUCAGCAAACCCCUCUGAAAAGGCUGUGCAUACGUCUUACUUCACAUGCAAGCGUUGACCUUUCCCAAUGAUGUCAGAGGAGAGCAAGCCAUAGGCCUGUUACAGAGCCCUGUGUCUCAUAUGCUUGUCCCAGCCACUGGGUGCUUUGUGAUGGACAUGCAGGGAUCGCAUACAUUUUCUACAGAAAGAGAGACCUGUCACCAUGGUGCUGGGCUCAGAGAGCUGCAGAGCAAGAGCUUCACCGAGCUGUAUGGCUGAAUUGUUCCCUUCUUCAUUGUCCAUUUAAAAAAAUCUAAAUGGAAGAUGGGAAGCUGCCUGCUUGAGGUUUGUGUAUGAAUAAUUAUAGGUACCUGCACUAGCAAGGGACUUUGUGAAAGACGAGAAAAUAGUUGGGCCUCUUCAGGGAAUGUGUGGCAAGCAGGUCAUUUAAAAAUAACUUUUGGAGGCUCUGGGAAGUGGGUGAAAUGAAGUAACAAACAGCUUCUGAAAAAACAGCCGACAAGGGAGCGUUUCAUCUGAUAUCACAGACUGCUAGUUUUCAUUCUGAUCCUGUUGUUGUCUUCUUUAUAUAGCUCAUAGAGUGCCCUUAAGUUGUCUCCAAAGGAUAUUAAUUUUCCACUGGCAUCAGAAAGGCUGCAAUGAUACUUGCACCAAGGUAAGCGACCCCCUCAAGGUUUCUGCACCCACAGCUCCGGACUGGCUGGAAACACAGGCAAUUAAUAAAUCAGAAAAUGAGUGCCUCUCGGCCCUCCUUGCUCCAGGGAAGCCAACAGGAGCUUUGUCAGUAGGAGCAGAACAAGACCACAGAGUGUGCCCCAUAAAGGAUGUGCAUGUGGAAAAGCUCUGCCGUCUAGAACGAAUGCCAGCUCUUAAGAGUUCUGAUCAAAGUCUGAAGUGGACUGAAGCAGAAAACACUGAACAAGAGCUGGGAUCCACCACAGAUGGGGGUGGCUUCGGCCACUACGGGAGGACUGCCACAGCCACGUGGUGAUGCUGAGAGACUUCCCAGCAAGCAGAGAACAUGCUGGUUCUUGCUCUGGGGUAUGGAAGGCCAUCUCAGUCGAUCAUGCCAAAGACAUCAGGACUUAUUCCUUGUGAAGCCUGGGUGGUAACUGGUAAUGAAGACCGUAACAGCCACAAUCUGUGGUAUGCUUUAAUCUACACAAAAUCUGGGAGCAUAAACAUCACUGAGCAUGCUGGGAUAGGGACUGAGAGUCACGUGCUGAAAGCCAGGCUGUUUCCCAGGGUCCUCUUACAGUUUUCAUGCUGGUUGGAAGUAGAUCAUGAGGUUGAUGGCACUUGUCAUCAUUACUUUACCCUCCUUUUUUGUGUUUGUGCAGAGAACCAUUUGCAAUGUGAAACAGUGCAGGACAUUGCCAAACAAAGCCAACCAAACACCCUGGGUAUGCUGCUUGGAUGAAAGAGCUCUUUAGAAGAUGGACAAAUGGACGCAGGGGACAAAAGAAAGAAUGAAGGCCUUGACAGAAUGCAAGCGAUGAGUAAUGACUUUGCUUUCUUCCAUUCCAGCUGCCACACAGGCACAUAUGUGAGUCCCUGGCCCUGCAAACUGGAACACUUUAACCUUUUCUUGUGUUCCGUGCCUGUCCUGUCACCUACUGUUGUUGCAGCCAGUGCACUCUUUAGCCAGGUCUGCUUCUCUCAGUAGCUUGGGCAAUUGUAUUUACAGGAAGCAAGAAAAUACACUGAUAAACAGCAGUGUGUGUCUGGGGAUAAUGUCAGCAUUUCAGCCAGAGCCUUGCUAUUCCCUUGGUGUUAUCACUGAUGGAUCCUCUGCCCUUCCUUACAUGUGGGCUUGAGGAGGUGGUUGUUUUGGCUGGAAUUAGAGAGGCACAGGUGGUAUCACCAGCUGUAAAUUGGAGGAGGCACUUCCUGAUUAUGACCACUGCCUACACAUAAAUCACUGCCAAGAGAGGAGCUGGGAAGCGUAGAAGCCUUCUCCUUACUUGGAAAGAGGGCCUCGAGUAUAGUCAUAAUUCCCCUCAUCUUUUUUUUUUUUUUUUCCAUCUAUAGGUUUUGGGGUUCUCAGUGUGCUCUUGGCUUCCCAAAAUGCUGUGACAUGGAAAACCCUCAGCUGAGUUGGACAGAUAGAUAAACCAAGGCAUCGAGUACUUACGCAUCUAACGCUUGGGCACUCAAAUCCUCAUAAAGGAACUGGGAGCUCAGGAGACGCACAUGCAGGAGGCAUUUGAGAGCCAGGACUUCAGCAAAGAUUCAGGUAUUUGCUCAACCACAGCAAAAUGUCAUCCCCUUCAAGUGGUGAAUGAGCCCUUGAUCUCUGCAAGGUCAAGAUUUUUGCCUUCUGGCUUUAGGUGCUAGUGGUGAGAGACCUGUCCAAAGGUGCUGUUUUCUAGUGCUGUUGUCUAGUGCUCAUUUCUCUACCUAUUCACCUGUACACGUGAAGACCUCUGCUGCUGGCCCUUGUCUGCAGGAAGCUUGGUGUGUUGAGUCUCCUCAUCAACCCAUCUGUUGGGGUGACCGUUCAGCCCCUUGCUGGCUCACAGUCUUGCUUUUGGGAUAUUUCUUCCCUUUUACUCUGGAGCAUCUUAAAUGUGGGUCCACUGAAUGUACAGAUUGAGAGCAGGGAAUGAAGGAGACGUGUUGCAGAAUCAACCCACCGACGUGUGCUGCUCACCCACGCACAUGGGGAGAGGGAAAGAUUAAAAGAUUAAAGUUACAAACUGGAAAGCGCCCCAGGCUACCACGGAGAUCCGAGUGACUGCCUGCGAAGCCAAACUCCCACUCUGGAGGUGCCGCUCCACGCUCGCUGUCACUCACUCCACACUUGCUUUCUCCUGCCAUCCCUUCCUGCUACUGCCUUUGCUAUUUUUACAGGCUGAAAAAUUAAGUAAUCAUCUGUUUUGGCCACGAAGGAGGGCCCUGGGCAACUCCUGGUUGUCACUGCAGGGCUCGUGGGCGUAGCCUUCUGCUCCAUCGCUGCACUCCUGUACUUCUAGACCUUGAAGACUCCUCCAUCAGCCUUCUGCUUUGCCCCAUCUGCCCAUAUCACGGCCAGGUUUGGUUCGGAUGCGGCUCAGGACUUGCGUGGGAGGGGCAGCAAUUUGCAGCAGUUAGAAUUUCAGUAAUGACAUAGGGAAGUUUGCAAGGCCUUCAGUGCUUUCUCGCCCCUACAGUGAGGUGCGAAUCAAGGCUUGCUCUACCAAGCUUACAAUUAAAUAUGCCCACAGUAUCAUACUCCUUCCUGUCAUUUGUGAAGAUUUUCUCACUUUCUUUUCUUUCCCUUCGUUAGAGCUGGACAAAGUUUUGGGGCUGAAAAGGCACAGAAGUAAAACUAAGGUCUGGGAGCUCCAGAACAGUUAUUAGCGCAGUGCUUGCGUUGGUAGGCAUGAUGCAAAGAAGGCUGUGGAUGCCCCAUCCCUGGAGGCAUUCUAGGCCGGGCUGGAUGUGGCUCUGGGCAGCCUGGUCUGGUGGUUGGUGACCCUGCACAUAGCAGGGGGAUUGAAACUCGAUGGUCAUUGUGGUCCUUUUCAAGCCGGGCCAUUCUAUGAUAUGAUAUUUUUGUUUGACUGUAGCAGUUAAUCUGAGCCAAAACGAUGAUUUCAUUUAAUUCUUGGAGUAUUGAGCUCUAGAAAUGUUUCUUUUCCAAUUUGCUUUCUGUUACUGUAUUUGAGUUUGGGGGCACUUUUUGUCAGAAACAAGCUGUUUCAAAGAAUAAAAACGGUUUGGCUCUGCUGCUUUGAGUAUGUUGAAAUGGUGUAUUUUGACAUCUCAGAAGUUCCUCCUCCUCCCUGUGCUUUUCAGAUGAAGGUAUUCCUCAGACUCAGGCUGUACUUGUGAAUGUGUUCAGUCCCCUUAGGGUUCCAUAUUUAAUCUGGUCUCCCAGCUAUCAGCUAUGCUGCCUGGCUCUGCUGUUGUGUGGAGGUGACAAAGGAGCACUGGGACCUUCUCGGUCCUGCAAGAAAUGGUGCUCAUUGCACGUGAGAUGGUGGGACAGCCAACUCCUAGCUUGGCUUUCCUGCUGAGGACAGUGGGAACCCUGCAGAUCAGGACACGUUCGGGUGAUUCGCACCUGCCCUUAGAUACCAGCAUUUCUUCUGGC
This 6354-nucleotide long non-coding RNA is filed under the name Gallus gallus (chicken). Its description in RNAcentral is "lncRNA (ENSGALG00010015476.1)". The record is from RNAcentral. Lineage: Eukaryota; Metazoa; Chordata; Aves; Galliformes; Phasianidae.